CCUACGGGAGGCAGCAGUGGGGAAUUUUGGACAAUGGGCGCAAGCCUGAUCCAGCCAUGCCGCGUGCGGGAAGAAGGCCUUCGGGUUGUAAACCGCUUUUGUCAGGGAAGAAAUCCUUUGAGAUAAUACCUCGGAGGGAUGACGGUACCUGAAGAAUAAGCACCGGCUAACUACGUGCCAGCAGCCGCGGUAAUACGUAGGGUGCGAGCGUUAAUCGGAAUUACUGGGCGUAAAGCGUGCGCAGGCGGUCUUGCAAGACAGAUGUGAAAUCCCCGGGCUCAACCUGGGAACUGCAUUUGUGACUGCAAGGCUAGAGUACGGUAGAGGGGGAUGGAAUUCCGCGUGUAGCAGUGAAAUGCGUAGAUAUGCGGAGGAACACCGAUGGCGAAGGCAAUCCCCUGGACCUGUACUGACGCUCAUGCACGAAAGCGUGGGGAGCAAACAGGAUUAGAUACCCUGGUAGUCCACGCCCUAAACGAUGUCAACUGGUUGUUGGACGGCUUGCUGUUCAGUAACGAAGCUAACGCGUGAAGUUGACCGCCUGGGGAGUACGGCCGCAAGGUUGAAACUCGAAAGGAUUGACGG
This 585-nucleotide ribosomal RNA is filed under the name uncultured bacterium. RNAcentral describes it as "bacterial SSU rRNA". It matches the Rfam family "Bacterial small subunit ribosomal RNA", at positions 338 to 916 of the family's 1533-position model. The record is from RNAcentral.